UCGAUGUGUACAAGGGUAUGCAAAUGUAACGGUUGGCAGUAUGAGAAACCAAAAAACAGAUCAUAUCGCAUGCGUUUUGGUCUGUCAUCCAUCCCUAAAUAUCAAAAUGCAGCCAUUAUAUCCUUUAAAGCUACGACUGCCGUGGAUUGGUAUCAUUCCUAAUCUGAGUUCUUUUACCCUGGCGUUUCAUUCGCCCUUUAAGCGAUUAGGUUGAUUUUGAUCUACAAACAUAAUCAGAUUGUGCAGCUUGGAGCUAUUGUCGGUAUCCCCUUUAUGAAACUGGUUCUCUUCAUCGUUACCAACUCUGCCUGCCACUUUACCCAGGAUCGUUGAAUUAUUUUUCAAAGAGGUGUUUCGGCUCCAUUUGUUACCUAAAAACAUUGUCAGUGAUCGGCACAGCAAGUUCUUCAAUGUGUUUUGGCAAGAGCUCUUCAGAUUGGCAUGCACAUAAUUGACACUGAGCACACAAAUGGACAGACAGAAAUAGUUAAUAAGUGGGUUGAGGGAUAUCUAAGAAAUUAUGUAGCAAGAAACUAAAAUGCUUGGAUCAAAUGGUAGUAUUUGGGAGAUAAUUGUUACAACACAACUCAUCACAUGAGUAUAGGCAUGACACCUUUCAGGGCUUUGUAUGGGUAUGAGGAAACAUCUUUUAUAGCUAUCAUGUAGCUAACAUCACAAAUUACAAAUAAAACCAUGGAAUCCUUUGUCACAUAGUUAAACUCUUCAUCAUUCCUUUGAACGUCUUGGAUGAGUUUAUUAAUUUAAAUUCACUAACUUAGACAAACACUAUAGACAAA
This is a long non-coding RNA of Cryptomeria japonica (Japanese cedar), 797 nucleotides long. RefSeq lists it as uncharacterized. Lineage: Eukaryota; Viridiplantae; Streptophyta; Pinopsida; Cupressales; Cupressaceae. The record is from RefSeq and is a predicted model, not a curated record. The transcript is spliced from 2 exons.